UACGGGGGGGGCAAGCGUUGUUCGGAAUUACUGGGCGUAAAGGGCUCGUAGGUGGCCAACUAAGUCAGACGUGAAAUCCCUCGGCUUAACCGGGGAACUGCGUCUGAUACUGGAUGGCUUGAGUUUGGGAGAGGGAUGCGGAAUUCCAGGUGUAGCGGUGAAAUGCGUAGAGAUGUGGAGGAACACCGAUGGCGAAGGCAGCCCCCUGGGUCAAGAUUGACGCUCAUGCACGAAAGCGUGGGGAGCAAACAGG
This 253-nucleotide ribosomal RNA is filed under the name uncultured bacterium. RNAcentral describes it as "partial 16S ribosomal RNA". It matches the Rfam family "Bacterial small subunit ribosomal RNA", at positions 524 to 776 of the family's 1533-position model. The record is from RNAcentral.